Drosophila ficusphila is the source of this 5012-nucleotide long non-coding RNA. RefSeq lists it as uncharacterized. The transcript has 3 exons. Lineage: Eukaryota; Metazoa; Arthropoda; Insecta; Diptera; Drosophilidae. The record is from RefSeq and is a predicted model, not a curated record.
GCGCCAUCCACUCAACAUAGUUCCAUUCUAAGCCAGCUCAGCACAGACUCCCUUUUCUACCCGCUUCCAUUGUCUUCGCAUUACGUUUACAAUUUGAUUUGCUUAUGUAAAUUAUGAAGAUUGCCCACAGAAGCAACCGCAGAUCCGAGGAUUCAAAAAUUCAAUUCGAUUUGCCGGCUCAGCCCGAAAAUGCAACCGAAAAAAGGAAAAAUUGCGUUCUUCUGUAAUUUGAAACAAAUCAAAUUUAUUGCCCCAGACGCAGCGGCGCCAUUGGCAAUUUUCAGAUGCGGCCAGAUGCGGUGAGCAUAUGAAAUGAGCCGGGGAAGGGGGUUGGAAUUGGUUUACUCUACGUGCAUAUUCAGAUACGGGCCCCGAACGCUCACAUAUUCUAAUUAGAUUUAUAACGCAACAAUAACUGUGCUCUUCCUCCAUUACUCCCCUCCUCCUCGACCAGAUUUUCAAAUUUAAAACUUUCCAUGAAUUAUGGUCAGAGUCCGGACAAAAAGGGGUUGGACAAGUGCACUCACAAAAGAGUCUGUGCAGAGCAAAAAAAUAUACAGAGGAAAUAUUCCGAUAGAAAAUGGAAUAUUAAAAAGGAAAUUAAGCUGUUAAAAAUCUUCGGUAAAUUUAAAUGCAUUUAAAGAACUUAAAACUGUAAGUGCUGGUUCAAUUUGUGUUUUUUAAGGUUUUUUUUUUAACUCAAUAUAUUUUUUCUGCGUGCACAUAGUCAAGUACAAAGAUAAACCAACAUAGAUAGGUCCCUCCGCCAAUAAACUUUUCGUGGAAAUCGGUUGAGUCAUGCCAUAUUAGUGUUCUAACCCUCCUUGGUUUUUCGAAGCCUCCUGCUACUGUCAUCCUCCUCAUUUAAUGCUGUGUGACGCGUGUUACAGAUUUUCGAUUUAGCACACACCCAGAGACAUUUUUUCUGGGAUCCCUUCCCCGAACUAAAAAUUAGCCUCGAACAGAAAUGGACGAAAAAAAAAGUUUCAUAUUACAUGCAAGCAAUUUGGCAAAUAAACUGUCAGCAGCACUGAGGGAUAUAGAAAAACGAGAGGGCGGGAGUUCCUUGCCUUAUAUAUACGUGGCCUGGUAUGCAAUGAAGAUGCUUGGGCUAGCAGCCAUCGAUUGAGGCCUGAAUAAUUCACAGAGAGCCAAGGAAAAUGCCAGGGUCCGUGUCCCCGGGGGAAACGCAGGAUAAAUAAGGUAGCGGCCAGGGGUGGAGAGUCCUGAAUCCUGCGUGGACCCUCGGGGUUGGCCGCUCACAUUACCAACCCACCUAAAAAUACUGCUUACUUUUCCCAUAUUUUCCUUGGCCCUUGGCAAAAUCUAGGCGGUGACUUUUUAUUUUCCAAAAUCCAUUUCGUUAUGCUAAAGACAAUAAAGCGUGACAGAUAAUUAGAUUAAACUAAUUUUGGUUUCGCUUUUUUAUUGGCAAUCAGUGACGAAACGAAGUCCCUUUCUUGUUUUGCCAUUUGGUUAAUAAUUUUAUUAGUGCUUCCCUUGUCAAAGUGGCGGAGUUGACAGUCGAUUGCCGCAUUGCAACACUGGCGGAAUAUAUUUUUGUAUCUGUGGACCGAUGUCCCUUUAUCGGGAUGUGUGUGCGAAAAGCAAAUAAUUAAUAAUUCAUGCAACACGAUUGACAGUGCGCCCCAGUUGAACUCGCUGCUCCUUUUUUCCUGUUUCUGCUGUGCUGUACUUUGCCUCCUUUUUAUUUGUGGCACGCUCAUAAAUUUACAAUUACACAUGCCAGAGUGGAGUCGGCGGUGCGCCGUUGCCUCCUUUUGCGUUGUUUUUAAUUUAAUAAAUUAAUAAAACGGCAAACGUGACAACACUGGCAACACUGGCAUCAAAGUGGCAAAGUGUUGCCAUUUGCAUUUUUAAUGCACUUUACCCUGCAACUCGGCGCGUAAAAAUAAUUAUCAACUGAAUCGACGAUGAGUUGGCGAAACAGAGAGACAGCGGGGCGAAUGCAGCGAAAUUUUUAAUUGAAUUUUCUCAACAUGCGUGUCAACUCUGACACUCUGUCAAAAGCACACCGUCUAUUUCAGUUCCACAAAUUCAAUUUCACUUUCAAUUGCCGUUAAUUGCCGGCCUCCAGCUAGAAAGGGACCAAACAAAAAAAAAAAAGAAGAGUGGAAGACCGAAUUUAAGCUUCAGCACGGACAGUCUGUAAGAGCGGCGGAAAAUCGUACUUUUCCUUUUGGCACAGUUUAACACACAAUGCCGGCGACUCCGGAGCGGAGCAGCUCCUCUUCGGCUCACCGGCUCACCUGCUGAACGCAGUUAACCCCAAUUACGGGCACAAAGACCCGGCCCAGACAGACAGCCAACUAGUAGCUGGCAGUAGUUAAAAUAUUUAAGCCACAACAGCGAGGAGAAAAAUUUUUUUUUUCACUCCGGCUGACCAAGACGAAGACGUCCAGCAACUGGUUGCUCUUUGGCUUAAUUAAAAGCUGCAGCAAAGCCCGGGAUUGUUCCACGGAUUCGGAUUCAGACUGGAAUUGAAUCGCAUCGAAUCGAAUUGAAUCGGAUCGGACGGGAUGCGUUGCAAUGUGAUGCGAGGCGAGGCGAGGCGGUGUGUGUUGCCUUUUAUUUGCUUUUCAUGCUGCGGUCGCUGAAAUGACACUACAAUGUCUUCGAAAUGAAAAUAAAUACGCUGAAGUCGGGACUUGGGACCUGAGUGAAGACCGCGACAACAUGAGGCAGCAACAUUGGCAACAACACAGUCCAGCGUCGACAGUCCGACCUGGCUACAUGUUACACAUUAAACCGCAUCGGUAUUGUGUCUCGUCGAUUUGAGGUGUAUAAAUACAGUUGAGGCCAAAAUAGUAGUACUUGGAUAUUGACGUUUAAAGGAAUUAGUCAUUACAAAGUUUUGGGAGAACAUAAAUUUCCUGAUUUCAAAAUUACUCAGGUUUGCUUAAAUUUAAUUUGUAAAACGUUAAUUAUUUCUGUCACUUAAGCACCAACAUGUAACCGAGAGAAAUAUAAAAAGCAUUUCCAUUUAGGUAAACUAUUUUUUUUUCUUUUUAAUUUUUAGCCCAUUAUCGUUAACUAUUAUUUUGACUGCUACUGUGUUUAUAUAUCCUCUUUUUUUGUUCUGUUUGCCUUUGAGAUUUCGCAGCCAAGCGCAACGGCCGACCCAACUCGGCUGACAAUGACUUUGCCCUUUUUCGCCGGGUUUUUAUUGCGGCCGCCGCGCUGUGUUUUAUAAAUCUCAUUUUCAAGAGGAUUUGUGUGCCUGUCAAAAUGUUGAUGUUUCACAAAACACUCGCCCUCUCGAAGCUGCAGACGCGGCUGCUCUGCUCGAUUUCAAUCAUGAUCGAUUUCAUUUUCAGCUUCGGAUUGUUUUUUUUGCCCCGGCUCUUCGGUGCGCGUUUUGAUCGCCGCUGUCUGGGAAUUAUACGAUUCCGCUGCAUUGAAUUACCCCGUCAAUGUCGACGGACUUGGCCCAACUGACUCUGACUUUUGCGGUCUUUAGCUCUUGGCGCAGCGGCCAAAUUACAACAAUUUGUUUGCCUUAUAAAGUUAAGCCCAGAACAAAGGCCCAACACACAAUCAUCAUUAUCGAAAUGUCAUAAAACCAAAUGAGCGGGCAUUAUUCAAUUUUAAACAACGAACCGGGCAUCAUCAGCCUCGUUCUCGUUCUCAUUCUCAUCCUCAUCCUCAUCUUGUUUUUAUCCCAACGGAAGCUGAAGCGGCAGCAGCUGCCAAACAACUUAAUACAGACAAAAGCCCUGAGAAGGCAUCCCGGAUGGAUGGAAUGGAUGCCAAAUUCCUGGCCAGCCGAAAUAAAUGUUUCAACUGCCUCGGAUGCCCUUUCACUGCGCCUCCAAGUAAAUACUUGCGCAAGUACAAAAAAAAAAAAAAAAAAGAAAAAUAAGAAACAAACAAACAGCCAAAAAUUAAGCAUAAUUACUGACAGCAAUCGAGGCGGCCCCACACACAGGCGGCGGCCAAAACCAAGGGCUACGUGAAGGCAGCCCAGGAUCUCAGACUAAAACUCAAGGCGGCACUGGCAAAAAAGGUGUUAGAAAACAUAAAGAAUAAAAUCUUUAGAAAAAGUGAAGUAAAUUAAAUGUAUACCAAUAUAAUUGAGAAGCAAGAAUGAUAACUUAGUUAAUAAUCUUACAUACUUUCUGUAGAGAAACUGCAAUGGAUUUAUCUUCAAAAUAUUCUACGUUUAAAUAAACGAAUUUUUUUCAAGUGUUGGGCUGGGCCAAAACGUUUUCAUUAAAAUUGCUGCCUUGGCCAAUCUGCGAGCCACGCACAACAAGAGCAGCAGGAGAAUAAAACUAAAAAAAAUGGAAAAACACGCCGAGCUCGCUCCGUAAAAUUGCAAUUUGGCCGGCGAACGAAACGGAGUGAGACAAUUAUAAGCAUGACAAAUGAAUUUCGCAUUGGGGCCGGUGUUUCCAGUGCCCUUGCCCAUGCCCGAGUUCCCAGGAAAACUGUCAGUGGAGGAUCAGUGGCGUUGAGACAGAUUCGAAAGAUCUGGAGGAUCGGGUCGCAGCUGUUGCCGCCGGGCACACACCUUCAACUCGUUGAGUUUUUGCAUCUCGGCUCGUUGCCUUUGAGUUUAAGUUUGCGUUUGCGUUUGGGUUUUCGUUUCGUUUCGUUUCGGUUCGUGCGUGCUGCGUUUUAUAUGAAUAAUUGCAUCAAGAUUUUUGCCAACUCUUUUGCGGUCGAUUGCGGCAGCUGCCCCAACUGCACUGGACAUCAUUUCUGUGGCCGUCCAAGCCACCCACCUCAUCUUCACACAUUUUGUUGGUUAUCCUUUGGCAUGUCGACGCUUUUUGCAUCUUUCAUGACGAAACCAUUUCAUGUUUUUGUUCCCAUUUUUUUUUUGGUACGGGAUACCGAAAUUUUGCAUAUUUUUGGCAUUGAAAGCGGUCCAAGAAUUACAAGCAAAGCGAGAUGAAACAGAUGUGUAUAGAAAGGAUAGGAAGGAUAAGCUAAUAUCGAUUUGUAUUUGAAAUAAAAUUAAAAAAAAAGAACCCUUUUUAAUUUAA